Molecule: ribosomal RNA, 253 nt
Filed under: uncultured bacterium
Lineage: Bacteria
Description: partial 16S ribosomal RNA
Rfam family: Bacterial small subunit ribosomal RNA
Source: RNAcentral
UACGUGGGGGGCAAGCGUUGUUCGGAAUUACUGGGCGUAAAGGGCUCGUAGGCGGCCAACUAAGUCAGACGUGAAAUCCCUCAGCUUAACUGGGGAACUGCGUCUGAUACUGGAUGGCUUGGAUUCGGGAGAGGAAUGCGGAAUUCCAGGUGUAGCGGUGAAAUGCGUAGAUAUCUGGAGGAACACCGGUGGCGAAGGCGGCAUUCUGGACCGACAUUGACGCUGAGGAGCGAAAGCCAGGGGAGCAAACGGG